Molecule: non-coding RNA, 213 nt
Organism: Camellia sinensis
Lineage: Eukaryota; Viridiplantae; Streptophyta; Magnoliopsida; Ericales; Theaceae
Source: RefSeq, a predicted model, not a curated record
CCCAUGCACAGCAGCUUGAAGCAGCUAGGGUAACAGCAGGUAACAAGAUUCGUCUUUGGAAUAAGGGUGUUGAUUCCGAAAGCUUCCAUCCCAAAUAUCGCUCUCAAGAAAUGCGAAUAAGACUAAGCAAUGGGGAGCCCGAGAGACCAUUGAUAGUCCAUGUUGGACGACUAGGAGUUGAGAAGAGUUUGGAUUUACUCAAAAGGUACUGCU